GACGAACGCUGGCGGCGUGCCUAAUACAUGCAAGUAGAACGCUGAAGGAGGAGCUUGCUUCUCUGGAUGAGUUGCGAACGGGUGAGUAACGCGUAGGUAACCUGCCUGGUAGCGGGGGAUAACUAUUGGAAACGAUAGCUAAUACCGCAUAAGAGUAGAUGUUGCAUGACAUUUGCUUAAAAGGUGCAAUUGCAUCACUACCAGAUGGACCUGCGUUGUAUUAGCUAGUUGGUGGGGUAACGGCUCACCAAGGCGACGAUACAUAGCCGACCUGAGAGGGUGGUCGGCCACACUGGGACUGAGACACGGCCCAGACUCCUACGGGAGGCAGCAGUAGGGAAUCUUCGGCAAUGGACGGAAGUCUGACCGAGCAACGCCGCGUGAGUGAAGAAGGGUGUCGGAUCGUAAAGCUCUGUUGUAAGAGAAGAACGAGUGUGAGAGUGGAAAGUUCACACUGUGACGGUAUCUUACCAGAAAGGGACGGCUAACUACGUG
Molecule: ribosomal RNA, 495 nt
Filed under: uncultured bacterium
Lineage: Bacteria
Description: partial 16S ribosomal RNA
Rfam family: Bacterial small subunit ribosomal RNA
Source: RNAcentral